GAUGAACGCUGGCGGCGUGCCUAAUACAUGCAAGUCGAACGAGGUGCUUUUGUAGCAAUACGAGAGUAUCCUAGUGGCGAACGGGUGAGUAACGCGUUGGUGACCUACCCCAAAGUGUGGGAUAACAGUCCGAAAGGAUUGCUAAUACCGCAUGUGGUCUUCGGGUUUAGAAACUGAUGACUAAAGGAGCAAUUCGCUUUGGGAGGGACCUGCGUCCCAUCAGCUAGUUGGUGAGGUAAUGGCUCACCAAGGCUACGACGGGUAGGGGACCUGAGAGGGUGACCCCCCACAAUGGAACUGAAACACGGUCCAUACACCUACGGGUGGCAGCAGUAGGGAAUAUUGCACAAUGGGCGAAAGCCUGAUGCAGCAACGCCGCGUGUGCGAUGAAGGCCUUCGGGUCGUAAAGCACUUUUCGGGAGAUGAGCAAGGACAGUAUCUCAGGAAUAAGUCUCGGCUAACUACGUGCCAGCAGCCGCGGUAAAAUGCGUAC
This 493-nucleotide ribosomal RNA is filed under the name uncultured bacterium. RNAcentral's name for it is "bacterial SSU rRNA". It matches the Rfam family "Bacterial small subunit ribosomal RNA", at positions 28 to 530 of the family's 1533-position model. The record is from RNAcentral.